RNAcentral lists this ribosomal RNA (446 nucleotides) under uncultured bacterium. RNAcentral describes it as "bacterial SSU rRNA". It matches the Rfam family "Bacterial small subunit ribosomal RNA", at positions 330 to 792 of the family's 1533-position model. The record is from RNAcentral.
CCCAGACUCCUACGGGAGGCAGCAGUGGGGGAUAUUGCACAAUGGGGGGAACCCUGAUGCAGCGACGCCGCGUGGGUGAAGGAGCGUUUCGGCGCGUAAAGCCCUAUCGGCAGGGAAGAAGGAGGACGGUACCUGACUAAGAAGCCCCGGCUAACUACGUGCCAGCAGCCGCGGUAAUACGUAGGGGGCAAGCGUUAUCCGGAUUUACUGGGUGUAAAGGGGGCGCAGACGGCAGCGCAAGCCAGGAGUGAAAGCCCGGGGCCCAACCCCGGGACUGCUCUUGGAACUGCGCGGCUGGAGUGCAGGAGGGGCAGGCGGAAUUCCUGGUGUAGCGGUGAAAUGCGUAGAUAUCAGGAGGAACACCGGUGGCGAAGGCGGCCUGCUGGGCUUUUACUGACGCUGAGGCUCGAAAGUGUGGGGAGCAAACAGGAUUAGAUACCCGCGUA